Fukomys damarensis (Damara mole-rat) is the source of this 84-nucleotide non-coding RNA. The record is from Rfam. NCBI's taxonomy places the organism in Eukaryota, Metazoa, Chordata, Mammalia, Rodentia, Bathyergidae.
CAGUGCAGUCACCCAUAAAGUAGAAAGCACUACUAACAGCACUGGAGGGUGUAGUGUUUCCUACUUUAUGGAUGAGUGUACUGU